RNAcentral lists this long non-coding RNA (3997 nucleotides) under Sus scrofa (pig). RNAcentral describes it as "lncRNA (ENSSSCG00050058349.1)". Lineage: Eukaryota; Metazoa; Chordata; Mammalia; Artiodactyla; Suidae. The record is from RNAcentral.
AGCCACAGCAAUGCAGAAUCCAAGGUGUGUCUCUGAUCUACACCACAGCUCACAGCAAUGGCGGAUCAUUAACCCACAGAGUAAGGCCAGGGAUUGAAUCCACAACCUCGUGGUUCCUAGUUGGAUUUGUUAACCACCGAGCCGUGACGGGAACUCCUACUUUCUUUUACAAAGACAUCAAUAUUUAUGAUCUCACUGGUUUCACUAAUUCAACUAUCAUUUAGUGAACACCUACCUUGUGACAAGUUAUGCUAUAAGUACUGAAGAUAAAAAAUUAAAUAACACUCUGUCUUUUCCUCACACUAGAUGGUAGGUGCUCUCCUCAGAGCCUGCUGCAUCCCUCAGGGCCCCAGAGAUGCUGAUUUCUGAGUCCUCACUUCCUUAGGAGGGUAAUGCUCCCCUUGCCUUCCUUGCCUUUCAGGAUUAGAAGAUUGAGUUAUGGAGAUCUGAGUUCUGGUCUCUCUGGCAUCAGGCCAUUCUGAAAGGUCCUUUCCUUUCAGGCAGAAAACCGACAAAGUCAGGCACUUUGCUCUGAGGCUUUCAUUUGCGUUUCUAAGUUGAUUGCCUAAAACUCAGACCGCUUUCCCUGUGGGGAGAGGGAUGGACUGGGCUUCUUAAAGUGUGUGUGUGUGUGUGUGUGUGUGUGUGUGUGUGUGUGUGUGUGUGUGUGUGAGAAGAGAGGGCAGAGUGUGGGUGGGGUAAUAGGACCCUGUGUCCUUCUUUGAUGUUGUCCCCUUAGGGAGCCCUUAUUAGAGCCUUCUCUAGCCUUCUUCUCUCUAGUCCCUUGUAACUAGCUUCACCUCUGUCACUUUCUCCUUUCACUCCACUGGCCUCCAAGGUGUUUAGCCAGCCAAGCUUGCUCCCUCCUUAUGGCCUUUAUGUUCUGUGUCCCUUCUGUGUGGGCCACUCUCCCCUGAGUCAUGAGGUUAACCUCUGACUUCCUUCAGGUCUUUACUCACCUUCUCUGUGAGGCCUUCCAUGGCCACUCUUUCAAAACUGUCAGCCUUUCAUCUCGAUGCUCUAUACAUUUCCCUGCUCUACUAUGUCUCCUGAGCACUCGCUAUUGUUUACUUAAUUUCUGCUAGAAACAGAGCGGAAUGGACAAUAAAAGACAGAUAAUCUCCAGGGGAACAUGGAUUUUUGUCUGUUUGUUUCUUUCUUUUUUUUCUUUUUACAGCUGCACCUGUGGCACAUGGAAGAUCCAGGGCUAGGGCCUGAACCAAAGCUGCAGCUGAGCCCUAUGCCACAGCCAUGGCAACAUCUAAAACCUGUGCUGCAGCUUAUGGCAGUGCUGGAUCUUUAACACAGUGAGUGAGGCUAGGGUUCAAACCUGCAUCCUUACAGAGACUGUGCUGGGUCCUUAACUCCCUGAGCCACAAUAGGAACUCCUGUCUGUUUUUUUCAUACUCUGUCUUAUAGAAUAGUUCUUUGUACAUGGUACAUUCUUUAGUAAGUAUUUGUUAAGUGAAUGAAUAAUGACAAAAUUCCCUAAGUCUCAGCUAGACAAAUAGGAAGUAUAAUCUCCUUCAUUUAAAUUGAUCAUAUGAUUUGGACAAUUGGAAUUUCAGUAGAAAUUCUUGACUUUAGAAUUGAAGACUCCCCUAAGCUUGUUGGCUAGUAUAGGGAAUCUUAGUAACAAAGGGCAUAAAGUCACAUAGUUUAUGAUAGUUUUAAUCAUAGUUUAUGAUUUUUUGAAGAUGAAGGAGAUGUGGCAUUUCUUGCAUCACAAUGUUUUGAGCAAAGUGUAGCCAGUUCACCUUGAGUGUGCACAAAAGCCAGCCUUGCCGCCUCCUGCUAGCUUUUGUCGGUGCAAGUAUGCCUGGCAGUUUGACUUGAGAAUGGCAUUAAGGACUUGCCAUGGUGCUGACAUGAGAAGUGAGAAAUGGCAAGUGCAUGGAACUAGCACAGGGAGCAAAGGGUCAGUGUUUCAAUACCAGCCAUGGCUUAGUUGAUAAGAUACUGCAAAUGAGUACUUCAUGUGUGUGUGUGAGUCUCUGUGUGUCACAUAAGAAGCAUAUAUUGUGUUAUGUGCACAAUGGCCAGUGAAUUUGAUGCCUCUGUUAUGGAUGCUAUUGGAUGUGUCAGCACUUCUUCCAUUCCCUUCUGUCUUGAGGUGUGUGGAAAUUUCUCCUGUGCCAUCCUUUACUUUGAUAAAGGAAUUGAAAAUAAGGUCUCCUCUCUUUGCUUUUGACUUCUCCAUUCAUAUAAUUGGUUUUCCUCCUUUGCUCAGUGCUCCCUAUGGUCACAUCAUAUUACAAAUUAUUAUAUAAUAAAAGUUGUUGCCUUGUAUUUUCUUUCCUACCUGUUUCCUACAGAACUUGGGAGAAAUAAAAGGAAUUGACCCAGGUUAAGAUGACAAAAAUAAUUAUCCCUCGUUUAAAAGAAGAAAAGUUUACAUUAAUAGACUAAUUCAAAUUUAUUUAAUUUUGCACAGAAUUAAAAAAAGCAUCUCACUGAAAAGUAACAUGAAAAAGAAUAUUAAAAUUCUUGAUAAGUUAAGGGGUUAGAAACUACCAUUUAUUGACUAUGUAUAGGGUACCAUCUAGAAAUUCAGUAACUGAGCUGAGAAAUUGAUGUUAUCCCAUUUUACAGGGAAAGAAACCAAGCUUCAGGGAUGUUAAUAAAUGCUAAGGACAUAUUAGUAGGAAGUGGGAGAGGCUGGAUUUGUAUUUAGAUGUGUCUGAUUCCAACCAAACUUUACUAUGCUGGUUUCCAACUGUCUUUAAAUUCAGAGUGUUCUUAAAAUUUCAGUACUGUACAUUCUAAAUUGAAAGCACUGUAUUUCAUUUCUAAGUAAGAUCAUCUUUUCCCUUUGCCAGAAAUAAUAUCUUUGAUUGCUCUAGCGCUUGGUUUGUAUGAAUUGCUUUCCUUGUUUUCUCAAUGCCAUGCAGGGAUUUAAAGUUCCUUGCUGUUAAAAACAGAGAUGAGUUACCUCAUUUUUGAAAUUCCUACACUGAGUUUCAAAAGCAAAAACAUGUCAUUAGGAGCUUAGGCUCAGAAUCUGAAUUUCAUCUUCUCUGCUUACUUACUGCAUAAUAGUGGCCACAUUCCUUAAUUAGGCUGUACCUCAAUAUCUCUAUCUGUAAAACAGAGGUAAUAUCAUCAAUAUAAAGAUUAAAAUAGUUAAUGUGUUAAUACAAUUAAAGUGCUUUUAAACAGAGCCUGACACACAAACAUCACCAAUAAAAUUUUUAUUUCUACCCAGGCAUGGCAAUCAUAAAGAGACAAUCAUUUUCAUUUUCUGGAACAUAGGAUAUUAGUUUCCUAAGGAUCCUUUCCUUCCAUGUCUUCCUGUUAACUAUCUGCUAGGGUUAUGCCAGCUGCGCAUGGUGCUUUUUCACUCAAGAGGAAGACAUCUGAAAAUAGGCCUGUCUGUCUCUUUUAUUUUUAAAUUCAUACAUUUGUAAUGAAAAAAGCAAACUGAUCAUCAUUGGAGGAUCUUAGUGGACCAACUCAGUAUUUUGAAAAUUGGUCAGUACAGCAACAUACUAAAGGCCUAUCCUUCAUUUCCUGUGUGGACUGUCCUACUAGAUAAUCAAUAGUAGAAAAGGAAUUAUUUCUUUUCACAGAAGAGUGCAUGGAUCUAGGCAUUGGACAUCAAUACCCCUAAGAUCAAAGAGAGACAUAGAUAGAUAGACAGAUAGAUAGAUAUAUAGAUAGAUAGAUUAUGUGAUUCCAUUUAAUUGAACAUACCAUCAAUAAAGUAGUCUUAUUAAACACUAUAAUUUAUGGAGUUCCCAUUGUGGCUCAGCAAUAACGAACCUGAUUAGUAUCCGUGAGGACAUGGGUUCAGUCCCUAGCCUUGCUCAGUGGGUUAAGGAUCUGAUGCUGCUGUGAGCUGUGGUGUAGGUUGCAGACAUGGUUUAGUGUUGCUUAGGCUGUGGUGUAGGCAGGCAGCUUCAGCUCUGAAUUGACCACUAACGUGGGAACUUCCAUUUGACGUGGGUGCAACCCUGAAAAAAGAAAAGAAAAGGAAAAAAAAAAAAAAGAAAAAAAA